CACCUAGUCGCGGAAGGAUGAGUGAAGCUGUCUGGGAGCAAACUGUUCUUCUAUGCAGGA
RNAcentral lists this unclassified non-coding RNA (60 nucleotides) under synthetic construct. The record is from RNAcentral.